UACGGAGGAUGCGAGCGUUAUCCGGAUUUAUUGGGUUUAAAGGGUGCGUAGGCGGAUCGUUAAGUCAGUGGUCAAAUUGAGGGGCUCAACCCCUUCCCGCCAUUGAAACUGGCGCUCUUGAGUGGAAGAGAAGUAUGCGGAAUGCGUGGUGUAGCGGUGAAAUGCGUAGAUAUCACGCAGAACUCCGAUUGCGAAGGCAGCGUACCGGCGCCCAACUGACGCUGAAGCACGAAGGCGUGGGUAUCGAACAGG
Molecule: ribosomal RNA, 252 nt
Filed under: uncultured bacterium
Lineage: Bacteria
Description: partial 16S ribosomal RNA
Rfam family: Bacterial small subunit ribosomal RNA
Source: RNAcentral